CGCCGGGGGCCGACCUGCCGGCUCCUCCCCCCGCCGCCCAGCGAGCAUAAAGCCCCGCGCUCGCCCGCGCGCCCAGGCGCCCGCGGAGGCGGCGGCGCCCGGACCCCACUCCCGUUGGGCUCCCGGGUCCUCGAGGGCAAGAGAGACCCCGAAUCCCGAGGCGGGCCGGGACCUGGGCGCGGCCGCACCCCACACCCACCCUGGCUCGGGGGCCGGGCCGCGGGAACGCCCUCCCGGAAUGAAGCGCUUCCCGGUGCCUUCAAGGUAGCUCGGUUCCGGAUCGGGGACCUCCCCAGUCCUCCCUCUCAGAGUUCUAACCCCACCCCAUCGGAUUGGAAGUACCUAAGCUGCCGGCCCACUGUGUUUGGAGUGACUUCUCUCAGUCCAUCUCAAUUUAGACCACUCCCCAUGGAGGCAAAUGCCUUCCCGGCUUCCUUCUCCCCCCCACCCUGGCUUCUAGGUCUCUGAGAUCCUCCAGUGUUUUCGCCCCAGGCUCCUGGGAACCAUCUCACCCACCCCCUUAAACUCCCUCCCUCUAGCCUGGGAACCCGGAGGAAGCCCAUCCUGGAUCACCUCUGGAUCAAGAGUACUCUCCCUGUCUCCCCUUCUCCAAAUCCAUGUACCCGCCUCAAUCCCCUGGCUGAAAUCAGCCAAGAAACUGUCAAAGCCAAAGGCUGAGGCAGCCAGCCACUCCUGCUCAAAUCCCUAACCCUGCUGGGGGUCUCAGUGCCACAUAAGCCACUCCCGCCCAAUUGCCUCCCACUCCUUCCCCCACCCACCUUCAAUCUAGCCAGUGUAACCCAGUGACAGUCCUUGAUGACAAGUUCCUUGCCCACCUUGACCUCCAUUCUCAAGUCACCCACCUUUUUAUUAAUGUGUGCUAGAGCUCUGGGCAACACAACCCUGACCUCUGUAAGGGUGCCCAUCCCCCUCCUCUUAGUACACCUCCCCUGCCCCCACCCCAACUACCUCUGGGAUAAGAACGUGAGAGACUCAAGUUAAUGGUUUCCUCUGGGACCUUCUGGGAACACUCAGCAGGUAUAUCCUGCCACCCUGUAUGCAUGACACUAGAAACAACUUACUUUUUCCUGUUUUUUGUUUGUUGGUUGGUUUGUUUGUUUGUUUGUUUGUUUAUCAUCAGACUCAAACCACAAUUUCUCAGAAUUCCCUGGACUGGGGGUGGGGGACACCCCACCAUGGGGCAUUUCUCACCAUUUUAGUACAAACUGGAACAUCAGGUGUGUCCUGGAAGAGACUCCUGGGGGUCAGUGGGGAGUACCUCUGGUGUUAGGGCACUGACUAUUCCUAAGUCUAAACCUCUGGUUUCCUGUGUGUAAAACGGGGCCAGUGUGGAGUUGCAGGGAGCCGGGAGCCCCAGGGGCCCAUAAGCAUUGAUUUUGGUGCUGGUGCUGUUGGGCAGGUGGCUUGGAGGGUAGGAAAUGAGUAAAGGUCAUCUGUUCAGAGCCAGCCAAGCCUGCAUGAGAUAGGAUCUAUUUAUGAGCAUCUUCAUGCAGGAUCUUAAAAGAGGAAGCCUCUGCUUAUUGACACUACCUGUCACAUGUGGGGUGAACUUACAGAACCUCCUACUGCAGGUUCACCCCAGUUUCACUGCUUCCUUUCACUUUGUUCACAGUAGGGACAAAGAUUCCUUCUAGGGGUAGCCCUCACAGACAAUACAGGUGUAAAUGGAUGAUCCUCACAGUAAAUUGAAGAUCUCAGCCAUAUUAAGAAAAAAAUGAUCUUUAGAGCAACGGGCCCAGACCCCAGAAUUAGGCAAUUAGAGGAUAUGGUUCCAGCUCUUUCUCUCUAAUUUGAUGCACCCUGAACAUCACUCAGAGAAUUCAAGCAUAAAUUGCUUUAUAUUUUAAAAAAAUCCUUUAGAGAAAUACAGUGGGCAAAUGACAUCAUGCCCAAGCACCGAGAUGCAACUUGGCACUUUCAUUCAUUCCACAAAUGUUUAUUGAACACCUAAGACACUGUGUUAGGUGCUAUCUUCCUAUUACCUACCUAGUGAAACUUGUUCACUAGAGACAGGAGUCAGAAGAUAGAUAGAUAGAUAGAUAGAUAGAUAGAUAGAUAGAUAGAUAGAUAAAUUAGUAAUAUAUCAGGUGGAUGUUGGUAAGUGCUAGGGAGAAGGAAGGGGAAUAGGGAGGGUGGAGGCAUGGGGGAGAUGGUGAUAUGCAAUUGUAAAUCAGGAAAGUUCUCACAGAGAGGGUGAUGUUUUAGCAAAGACCUUAAGGAAAUGAGACCCUUUACUCUGUUAUCCAGAAUUCUCACUUAAGCCGCAGGUCUGCAUCUUUUAAGUGCAAUGAUAAUUAAUAUUCAUCAUUUGAUUUUCACUGCUCUAAAACAGUGGUUCCCAAACUUUAACAUGCAUUAAAAAAAAAAAAAUCAUCCAGUGAUUUUCAGAUGCAGAGUGGAUGGGGGCUCUGAAAACUGUAUCUUUUUAACAAGCACCUCUAUCUGAUGAUGCUGAUAACUGAGGUUUUCCUUGGACCACUGUUGAAGAAACACUAUUUUUAAAUAUACUAAAGAGUCUUCUAGAAUGACAACAACAACAAAAUUAAAGAUUAAAUUACAGUCUGUGUGGUUUUGGUGUUGAGAGUAUUUCACUGUGUUCUCAUUCUCUGAAAAUGCAAUACCCAAGCAAAACCCUGGAUUACCCAGAACAUCCCAUUUCUUGUCCAUACAGGAGAAGGAAAAAUUUACCAUAAGCUAAUAAGGAGCCAAACAUUUAUAAUAACAUUUAUAACUAGUGUGUUUUACACACUUUUCCCCAUUUUUACCCUCAUUCUUCUCUAUAAUUUUUACUUUUUCUAAAUUUCUGGACUCAUCCAUCAGGCAGCUGGCUGGAAUAAUGAGAGCACUUGACCAAGAGUCAAAGGAUCCACAGGUUAAUCCUGGAACCACCACUGUUUCCCGUUGAGUGUCUCUUGGGAUUUGCCACUCUGCCUUCUGAGCUUCCAUUUACUCUCAGUUGCUGUGAGACUUAAGUGAGAUAAUGUAUAUGAAAACAUCUUAAGAAUUCUGUAGGUAAGGAGGCUCUGUGACUGCAUUCCCAGGUCUGAUUAACUUGGUCCAGUUCAAAAUUCAGUUACUUCAGGACAGUGUGGAACUGGCAUGAGGACGUACAUAUAGAUCAAUAGAAUAGAUUUGAGGUCAGAAAUAAACCCUUACAUUUAUGAUCA
RNAcentral lists this long non-coding RNA (3188 nucleotides) under Sus scrofa (pig). Its description in RNAcentral is "lncRNA (ENSSSCG00035039979.1)". Lineage: Eukaryota; Metazoa; Chordata; Mammalia; Artiodactyla; Suidae. The record is from RNAcentral.